RNAcentral lists this ribosomal RNA (418 nucleotides) under uncultured Methanothermobacter sp. RNAcentral describes it as "bacterial SSU rRNA". It matches the Rfam family "Archaeal small subunit ribosomal RNA", at positions 330 to 747 of the family's 1478-position model. Lineage: Archaea; Methanobacteriati; Methanobacteriota; Methanobacteria; Methanobacteriales; Methanobacteriaceae. The record is from RNAcentral.
GUGCAGCAGUCGAGAAACCUCCGCAAUGCACGCAAGUGCGACGGGGGAACCCCAAGUGCCACUCUUAACGGGGUGGCUUUUCAGAAGUGUAAAAAGCUUCUGGAAUAAGGGCUGGGCAAGACCGGUGCCAGCCGCCGCGGUAACACCGGCAGCUCAAGUGGUAGCCGCUUUUAUUGGGCCUAAAGCGUCCGUAGCCGGUCUGAUAAGUCUCUGGUGAAAUCCCACAGCUUAACUGUGGGAAUUGCUGGAGAUACUAUCAUGACUCGAGGUCGGGAGAGGCUGGAGGUACUCCCAGGGUAGGGGUGAAAUCCUGUAAUCCUGGGAGGACCACCUGUGGCGAAGGCGUCCAGCUGGAACGAACCUGACGGUGAGGGACGAAAGCCAGGGGCGCGAACCGGAUUAGAUACCCGUGUAGUCC